Molecule: ribosomal RNA, 1357 nt
Filed under: Vespidae sp. MT-2014
Lineage: Eukaryota; Metazoa; Arthropoda; Insecta; Hymenoptera; Vespidae
Description: 16S ribosomal RNA
Source: RNAcentral
UUUUUUUUGUUAUUUUAAUUAAAUUUAUUUAGUGUAAUAUAAAAAUAUAAUGUUUGAGUAAUUAAUAAAAAUUAAUUUUUUAAAAUUUAAAAUUAGUAAUGAAAAUGAUUAUUUUAAUAAUUAUUAAGUAAAUUUUAUUUAUUGUACCUUUUGUAUCAGGGUUGAUUAAUAAAAAUAUUUAUAGUUAAAUAAAUCUCGAAUUUAAAAGAUUUAAUCAAAAAUUUUAGUUAUUGUUAAAUUAAUAUUAUUAAUUUUUGAUUGGUAGUGAAAUGUUAAACGAUUUUAAAUAUAUCUAGUUUUUUAAGAAUUGAAUUUUAAUUCAGCUUUAAAAUUUUUAUUUAAUUAAUUUAAUAAAUUAAUUAUAAUUUUAAUGUAAAUAUAUUAGGGAUAAACCUGAUAUAUUAUUUAUAAUUAUUUUUUUAAUUAUUUAUAAGUAUUUAUAAAAUUUGAUAUCUUUUUAAAAAAUUUUAUAAUUUAUAUGUUUAUUUAUUUAAAUUUGAAAAAUUAAUUUUAGUUAAAUUUAUUAAAAAUAUUUAUUUAAUAUUUAUUUAUUUGAUAAAAUGAUUAUAUUAGUAAAUAAUAUUGUGUUUAAAAAUUAAUUUUAAAUUAAUUUAUUUUAAGGAAUUAGACAAAUAAAUUAAUUAAAUUAUAUAUUUACCUGUUUAUCAAAAACAUGUCUUAUUGAGUGUAUAAUAAGUCUAUUCUGCCCAUUGAAUUUAAAAUUUUAAAGGCUGCAGUAUACUGACUGUACAAAGGUAGCAAAAUCAAUAGUUUUUUAAUUGAAAACUUGUAUGAAAGAAUUAAUAAAAUAUAGAUUGUCUCAAAUUAAUAAUAUUAAAUUUAAAUAAAAAGUAAAAAUGCUUUUAUUUUUUUAUUAGACGAGAAGACCCUAAGAAUUUAAUAAUUUAUUUAAUUAAUUAUAUUUAUAAUUAAAUUUGAUUAAUUUAAUUAUUUUACUGGGAGGGUAAUUAAAAAUUUUUAACUUUAAUUUAAAAUUAACUUUGAUUAAUGAUUAUUUGAUAAUUUUAAUAAUUAUGAGAUUUAAUUACCUUAGGGAUAACAGCGUAAUAAUUUUGGAGAGUUCAUAUUGAUAAAAUUGUUUGCGACCUCGAUGUUGAAUUAAAAUAAAAAUUAAAUGGAGAUAUUUAAAAUUUUAGUCUGUUCGACUAUUAAAAUUUUACAUGAUUUGAGUUCAGAUCGGCGUAAGCCAGAUCGGAUUUUAUCUAUAAAUAAUUAGGUAUUUUAUUGUACGAAAGGACUUAAAAUAUAAAAUAAUUUUUUUUAUAUGAUUUUUAUUAAUAUAUAUAUAUAUAUGUAUAUAUAUAUAUAUAUGUAGAUUUAUUAAUUUUAAAAUUUU